UACACGACCGUACCGCAAACCGACACUGGUGCGCGAGAUGAGUAUUCUAAGGCGCUUGAGAGAACUCAGGAGAAGGAACUCGGCAAUUGACACCGUAACUUCGGAAGAAGGUGUGCCUUUAGUAGGUGAAGGGAUUUACUCCUGGAGCCCAAUGAGGUUGCAAAAAAUCGGUGGCUGCGACUGUUUAUUAAAAACACAGCACUCUGCAAACACGAAAGUGGACGUAUAGGGUGUGACGCCUGCCCGGUGCUGGAAGAUUAAAUGAUGGGGUGCAAGCUCUUGAUUGAAGUCCCAGUAAACGGCGGCCGUAACUAUAACGGUCCUAAGGUAGCGAAAUUCCUUGUCGGGUAAGUUCCGACCUGCACGAAUGGCGUAACGAUGGCCACACUGUCUCCUCCUGAGACUCAGCGAAGUUGAAAUGUUUGUGAUGAUGCAAUCUCCCCGCGGAAAGACGGAAAGACCCCAUGAACCUUUACUGUAGCUUUGUAUUGGACUUUGAACAGAUCUGUGUAGGAUAGGUGGGAGGCUUUGAAGUAGGGUCGCUAGAUCUUAUGGAGCCAACGUUGAAAUACCACCCUGGUGUGUUUGAGGUUCUAACCUAGGUCCAUUAUCUGGAUCGGGGACAGUGCAUGGUAGGCAGUUUGACUGGGGCGGUCUCCUCCCAAAGCGUAACGGAGGAGUUCGAAGGUACGCUAGUUACGGUCGGACAUCGUGACGAUAGUGCAAUGGCAUAAGCGUGCUUAACUGCGAGACUGACAAGUCGAGCAGAUGCGAAAGCAGGACAUAGUGAUCCGGUGGUUCUGUAUGGAAGGGCCAUCGCUCAACGGAUAAAAGGUACUCUGGGGAUAACAGGCUGAUACCGCCCAAGAGUUCAUAUCGACGGCGGUGUUUGGCACCUCGAUGUCGGCUCAUCUCAUCCUGGGGCUGUAGCCGGUCCCAAGGGUAUGGCUGUUCGCCAUUUAAAGAGGUACGUGAGCUGGGUUUAAAACGUCGUGAGACAGUUUGGUCCCUAUCUUCCGUGGGCGCUGCAGAUUUGAGAAAGCCUGCUCCUAGUACGAGAGGACCGGAGUGGACACACCUCUGGUGUAUCGGUUGUCACGCCAGUGGCAUUGCCGAGUAGCUAAGUGUGGAAGAGAUAACCGCUGAAAGCAUCUAAGCGGGAAACUCGUUUCAAGAUGAGAUCUGCCGGGGCCUUGAGCCCCCUAAAGAGUCGUUCAAGACCAGGACGUUGAUAGGUCGGGUGUGGAAGCGCAGUAAUGCGUUAAGCUAACCGAUACUAAUUGCUCGUGCGGCUUGAUC
Molecule: ribosomal RNA, 1299 nt
Filed under: metagenome
Description: bacterial LSU rRNA
Rfam family: Bacterial large subunit ribosomal RNA
Source: RNAcentral